UUUAUGGAGAGUUUGAUCCUGGCUCAGGAUGAACGCUGGCGGCGUGCCUAAUACAUGCAAGUCGAGCGAACGGACGAGAAGCUUGCUUCUCUGAUGUUAGCGGCGGACGGGUGAGUAACACGUGGAUAACCUACCUAUAAGACUGGGAUAACUUCGGGAAACCGGAGCUAAUACCGGAUAAUAUUUUGAACCGCAUGGUUCAAAAGUAAAAGACGGUCUUGCUGUCACUUAUAGAUGGAUCCGCGCUGCAUUAGCUAGUUGGUAAGGUAACGGCUUACCAAGGCAACGAUGCAUAGCCGACCUGAGAGGGUGAUCGGCCACACUGGAACUGAGACACGGUCCAGACUCCUACGGGAGGCAGCAGUAGGGAAUCUUCCGCAAUGGGCGAAAGCCUGACGGAGCAACGCCGCGUGAGUGAUGAAGGUCUUCGGAUCGUAAA
Molecule: ribosomal RNA, 439 nt
Filed under: Staphylococcus aureus
Lineage: Bacteria; Bacillati; Bacillota; Bacilli; Caryophanales; Staphylococcaceae
Description: bacterial SSU rRNA
Rfam family: Bacterial small subunit ribosomal RNA
Source: RNAcentral